CAGUCGCCACGGGAAUACAGAGGGUGCGAGCGUUAAUCGGAUUUACUGGGCGUAAAGCGUGCGUAGGCGGCUUCUUAAGUCGGAUGUGAAAUCCCUGAGCUUAACUUAGGAAUUGCAUUCGAUACUGGGAAGCUAGAGUAUGGGAGAGGAUGGUAGAAUUCCAGGUGUAGCGGUGAAAUGCGUAGAGAUCUGGAGGAAUACCGAUGGCGAAGGCAGCCAUCUGGCCUAAUACUGACGCUGAGGUACGAAAGCAUGGGGAGCAAACAGGAUUAGAUACCCGGGUAGUCCCUGUCUCUUAUAC
RNAcentral lists this ribosomal RNA (301 nucleotides) under uncultured bacterium. RNAcentral describes it as "partial 16S ribosomal RNA". It matches the Rfam family "Bacterial small subunit ribosomal RNA", at positions 509 to 807 of the family's 1533-position model. The record is from RNAcentral.